RNAcentral lists this ribosomal RNA (492 nucleotides) under uncultured bacterium. RNAcentral's name for it is "partial 16S ribosomal RNA". It matches the Rfam family "Bacterial small subunit ribosomal RNA", at positions 29 to 507 of the family's 1533-position model. The record is from RNAcentral.
AGUGAACGCUGGCGGUAGGCCUAACACAUGCAAGUCGAACGGCAGCACAGUAAGAGCUUGCUCUUACGGGUGGCGAGUGGCGGACGGGUGAGGAAUACAUCGGAAUCUACUUUUUCGUGGGGGAUCACGUAGGGAAACUUACGCUAAUACCGCAUACGACCUACGGGUGAAAGCAGGGGAUCUUCGGACCUUGCGCGAUUGAAUGAGCCGAUGUCGGAUUAGCUAGUUGGCGGGGUAAAGGCCCACCAAGGCGACGAUCCGUAGCUGGUCUGAGUGGAUGAUCGGCCACACGAGAACUGAGACACGGUCCAGACUCCUACGGGAGGCAGCAGUGGGGAAUAUUGGGCAAUGGGCGGAAGCCUGAUCCAGCCAUACCGCGUGGGUGAAGAAGGCGUUCGGGUUGGAAAGCCCUUUUGUGGGGAAAGAAAAGCAGCAGGUUAAUACCACGCUGUUCUGACGGUACCCAAAGAAUAAGCACCGGCUAACUUCGUG